AUCCAGUUGACGAGUCCCAAAUAGGUCAAAACGCGCGUUCUGGAU
Schistosoma rodhaini is the source of this 45-nucleotide non-coding RNA. The record is from Rfam. Lineage: Eukaryota; Metazoa; Platyhelminthes; Trematoda; Strigeidida; Schistosomatidae.